Molecule: long non-coding RNA, 3492 nt
Organism: Triticum urartu
Lineage: Eukaryota; Viridiplantae; Streptophyta; Magnoliopsida; Poales; Poaceae
Source: RefSeq, a predicted model, not a curated record
UCUUAGGUGGUGCUGUCAUGGGCCAUGGCCCGGCGCGCUGCUGAUGCUACCGUCGCCAGCUCGCCUCGCCGGAUCCUGAUCCGACCUAAAAUCAGGGAUAGUUGCUCCUUUCGAUCCAUUCUCGGUGUUCCUUCGUUUCCUUGUUGGGUUAAUUCUUUUUCGCCUCCUUUCCUUGGGUACCCAAUUCUUCUUGUUGAUCCUCCAAACUGCUUAAGUAUAUGAACCGGUAGAAUCUUUAUCUUUACCUCUUUAUCUUUAUUUUUAUCUUUACCUAUACUAAUAAACCAGCGAUUUCUUCUGGCCGUACGUCGUCGGAUUUUUUUACAGAAAAGUCCUGCUGUUUCUGAGAAAUUAACCCGCAGUCCUUUCUUAAGUGAGAAAGACGUUUCGUUCAGAAAUUUUACAAAUAAAACCCUGUAGUUUCACGGAUUCAAUCUGCGGUCCUCUUUCUCCCUCGCUUCCCGAUCCCAGCCGCCAGGAGGCGCCCCACCCCGCACGAGCCUCGAUCCGGUGCCGCGAGCUAAAUGGGGGCGGGUGCGACGUCUUGCUCCCGUGGCGACGGCGUCCUGCUGAUCCAAAGAAAGAUGGAGCCAGGGCAUGAGGGAGAGAGGAAAGAGAGGAAGGAGAAGGGGCACAAGGUGAGGGAGGCGGUCGCCGGCGAUGGCAGCUCCGGUGACCGGCCGACGGGCAGGGAGGCGAGCUCCUGUUGAGGCGGCGGAGCUCGGUACGAGCUAGUUCGUCCGGAUCGAGCCUUGGCUUUCCCGAGGCGCGCGGUUGCGGGCUUGGAUCUGGGUGAUUCUUCUCCCCCGCCCUCCCUCCAUGGCCAACGACACGAGGUGCAGCGACCUCUUCCGCCCCCCGCCAUGGCUCCUCUCUAUCCCCCCACCAGCACCCUCCUCACCCCUUCCCCACUCCCGGCUGAUCCCCAAGGCUGCCCCCUCCCUCUCUCAUUUGAUCUGGUCUGGACGAUCACUGGACCGAGCUCGAUACCACACUGCCUGUCUUGGAUGGCCGGAACAUAUUGUUGGCCAUCUCACACUCUGGUUGCAGCAAUUGGAUGUGCCCUGUGAAACCUGCAACAUUUGAGCAUUGCAAGCGGCGGUAUGGCAGUCUGAAUCCUGACGUUCUUGGGAGUGCAGGAGAAGAACGGCUAUCUUGCUUUUCUAAAAUCAACAGGAGCUCGGUAUGGAAAAUGUUGGAUAUUCUCGAAGAAAUACUUGCGAUGAAGGGUAGCCAUUGUUUGCAUGCUUCCUCCCUGUGGUGCAUUUGGUUCCUAAGCCAUCCUCUCAAGCUCCCACUUCGAUAGUUGUGAUCCCUGGGUCUGCGAAGCCAGGUUUGCAGAAGAAAUUGGGGGGCUCAAGUCUGCAAUCAAGGGAGUCUGCAUGGUGGUCUCUGUUGUUUGAAGGCAAGGUGCUCGGGAAUGAGCCACUGGCUAAAUCGUUUGGUGAUCUCAAGGAUGUGUGCUCUGAUGUGGGAAACGUGGUCGACGACAAGCUCUGACUACUACAGGCUCCAACAAGUUAGAAUUAAUUUAGUUGUGGUUUUAUAUUGCAAAACACGGUGAAAUUAGAAUUUAUCCGGGUUUCUUUGUUUAGGUGGUGCUGUAGAAAUAGCAAUGUCGAUGCUACUGUCAAUUGUUUUCUUCAGUUCGUACGUGCUACUAAAGAUGCACUCGAUCUGCCUUUGCUCGGUUCCUGAAAAUUGCUACGUUGAUUUUGUUUUGAAUUUGCAAGCAUGUAGAUUAAAUCCAAAUGUCCAAUGAUAAGAAAAUAUUAACCUUUUAUCUAUAGAAGUGUACACCGAAAUAUCAGCGAUUUGCCAAGACUACAGAUUUUUGUUAUUAUUUUUGUUAAUCGCAUUAGAUAAUUACGGCUAUUUGGAUUAGUCUUCAAUCCUAAUGCUUUGAAAAUGAAAGCAAUAGUUCUAUAUACCUUCUAAUCACUGGGGUUCUUGUGUUAUCCUUCCUAGAAUUGUUUAUUAUCUUCAAUCUUUAUCUUCAUGCUUCUAUUCUGAACCAAUAAACUUGAACAGCUACAAGAAGCAUCUUUCCAUGGAGCUUAAAUACCUUUUCCAAUACAUAGUUAAUCAACCGACGAAAGGAUUGGGUAUUGAGCUUCUUGUACUUGAGGAUGCUAUGUCAGGAAGUGAAACGUUGUGGCUUCAAGGAGUGAAGUAAUUGGAUUGGGAUCAUGGAGUAAAUCAAACGAGGAUGCAACUCAUGUUCGUGUAGGUGAGACACUUAUUAACUCUGUAGCAAAUAGUUCACAUGGUACAGCUAGCUGUGGUGCAGAGGGUAGAUAGUUUUAGUACUCAGACUUGCAGAGGGUAUCACAUGGUACACAUGGUACAGCUAGCUGUGGUGCAGAGGGUAAAUAGUUUUAGUACUCUGCUGUCCUUUCGUAAUGGCAAUGUAGCAGCUGUGUGAUACGUUUGCAACACGGAGUCUUCACUGCAUAUUACAUACCGGAACCGAUAUGUGUUUGUCGACAUAAAAUUCUAACCUGAAUUUGCUAUUCAGGUGGCAAAUCCAAUAAUUUAUGUAGUGUAUUUGCAUUUUGCAAGAUAAUUUGGCUGCCAAAGUGCUACAUCAUAUCUCACUGGACCUAUUGAGUAAGUGGUAAUUUUUCAUUUAUAUAUCAUUCAAAUUUCUAUAUGCACUGUUCAUAGAUUCCUUGCAUUGUUCAGUUACCAAUUUUCGUAAGGGUCAUACUUAUUGGACCAUGGCACACCCUGCCAAUGCAGGUUGCUUCCAUGACUAUACUUCAAAUAGGGGUAUAUUAGUUUGUCUCUCAUCAUCAAACUUUGGACCCUCUUUACAUGGGCAUUUUUUUUCAAAGCGUACUCGUACAAAAUAAACUGUAUUGGUUUUCAGUUUAUAUCUGUCCAUGGUUAUGCUCACAUCACAAAUUUUGACAGCUAGACAGUUCCCGAGUUCAGUCCAACCGAAACACUGCAUUUAUCUUUCUCGAUGAGUAUGGCAGAAUCCAACAUCCAUUCAACCCUAAAUUGGGGCUCCAUGGCUACCAACCGAUGGAGCAAGAAUGGAGACCACCCUCUCCUCCUCCAAUUUGGAGCUCCACGGCCGCCAUUCAACAGGCGCUGCCGUCGUUGCCUCCUCACCGCCUCACCUGGGAGAGCACAGGCGCCAACAUCGCCCACGACCCGCCACAUGUUCGGUCAACAAGCUGUAGUUCAAUUAGGUCUGUUGCUCCUCUUACAUGCAGAGCCUUGGGAGAUCAUGGUCUUCUCUCAUUCUCUUGUGAACAAUAUAUGCACUGUAGGUAUGCGAAAAGAAAUAUUGUAUUGCUUGGAAAAAGAUAUGCGAAAUUAGCAGGCAUCAAUUUGGCCAUGUUUACAAGCUAUUAGAUGUGCAUUUUUAAGAUGCGGUAGUCAUACUUUGUACUGGAAUUUGACUAAUAAUUCUAUUGCUUAAUGCCUUUCUAUUCUUUCUCAUUUGAACCAUAAUGAAGAUGAUACGGUCAAAUUAUUUGA